CUCCAUGUCAUCCUUUAGAUGAGUUCCCAGUUGCGCAAAUGGAGUUUGCUAGGCUUGAAAAUUGAGAAGGAUGGCCGUCUUGUGUUUUUUUGGUUUGUUUUUCCUCAGAAAACCGUUCCAAAUUUCUGAAGGAAGAAAGGAGCAGACUUGUCUAAACAUGGGCAAACUAAAUUCUUCUGAAAUGGAGCUGGCUGGAUGGGAAUGUAGGUGCUCUUUAAAAGGGUAG
RNAcentral lists this long non-coding RNA (226 nucleotides) under Crocodylus porosus (Australian saltwater crocodile). Its description in RNAcentral is "lncRNA (ENSCPRG00005018488.1)". The record is from RNAcentral. Lineage: Eukaryota; Metazoa; Chordata; Crocodylia; Crocodylidae.